GGAUUAGUUUGAUCCUGGCUCAGAUUGAACGCUGGCGGCAGGCCUAACACCUGCAAUUCGAGCGGCAGCGGGAAAGUAGCUUGCUACUUUUGCCGGCGAGCGGCGGACGGGUGAGUAAUGCCUGGGGAUCUGCCCAGUCGAGGGGGAUAACAGUUGGAAACGACUGCUAAUACCGCAUACGCCCUACGGGGGAAAGGAGGGGACCUUCGGGCCUUUCGCGAUUGGAUGAACCCAGGUGGGAUUAGCUAGUUGGUGGGGUAAUGGCUCACCAAGGCGACGAUCCCUAGCUGGUCUGAGAGGAUGAUCAGCCACACUGGAACUGAGACACGGUCCAGACUCCUACGGGAGGCAGCAGUGGGGAAUAUUGCACAAUGGGGGAAACCCUGAUGCAGCCAUGCCGCGUGUGUGAAGAAGGCCUUCGGGUUGUAAAGCACUUUCAGCGAGGAGGAAAGGUUGUUGGCUAAUACCCAGCAACUGUGACGUUACUCGCAGAAGAAGCACCGGCUAACUCCGUGCCAGCAGCCGCGGUAAUACGUAGGGUGCGAGCGUUAAUCGGAAUUACUGGGCGUAAAGCGUGCGCAGGCGGUUUAGUAAAACAGGCGUGAAAUCCCCGGGCUCAACCUGGGAACUGCGCUUGUGACUGCUAAGCUAGAGUACGGCAGAGGGGGGUGGAAUUCCACGUGUAGCAGUGAAUGCGUAGAGAUGUGGAAGAACACCGAUGGGAAAGCAGCCCCCUGGGCCGAUACUGACGCUCAUGCACAAAGCGUGGGUAGCAACAGGAUUAGAUACCCUGGUAGUCC
This 800-nucleotide ribosomal RNA is filed under the name bacterium C25. RNAcentral describes it as "bacterial SSU rRNA". It matches the Rfam family "Bacterial small subunit ribosomal RNA", at positions 1 to 796 of the family's 1533-position model. The record is from RNAcentral.